GACAUCAAACAUGGAGGAUGGGUUGAUCUUCACUUUGUACUCCGUCUCCAGGAACUGAGAAAACUUCAGCUUAUUCUCCUGUUAAGACAGUGCAUGGUGCCAGAGCUCUUUUGGCCUAGAAGAAUUGGGUGGUCUGGUUUUUCUUUUUUUUGAGACGGAGUCUCACUCUUUUGCCCAGGAGGGGACCCACACCUGGAAGGCUCACCUGCUUCACCUUGGCGAGUUCCCGGAGGAAGACAUCAUCACCCAGGAAGCUGUGGAGCUUCGUCAGCUGGCUCAGGUCUUUCACAUAGUCUUCUCCAAUUUUCUUUCAAUUCAAAGGAAAAGAUGACUUCAAUUUGGGGAUGGUAAUCAAGUCCAAAUGGGCAGUUUCUGUCAGUAUUUCUCUCUGUCACCUACCACAGUGUAGUUCACGUAUCACACAGAACAUGGGAUAGUUUGACUCAAAGAAGAGUCUAUAAAGUCUAUGUGAGAAGAACACUUUUGCUAGUAUCUUAAAUGUAGUUUCAGCAGUUUUUAAAAAUUAUUUUUAUUU
Homo sapiens (human) is the source of this 535-nucleotide long non-coding RNA. The record is from Ensembl. NCBI's taxonomy places the organism in Eukaryota, Metazoa, Chordata, Mammalia, Primates, Hominidae.